AGUGAACGCUGGCGGUGGCCUAACACAUGCAAGUCGAACGGCAGCACAGUAAGAGCUUGCUCUUACGGGUGGCGAGUGGCGGACGGGUGAGGAAUACAUCGGAAUCUACUUUUUCGUGGGGGAUAACGUAGGGAAACUUACGCUAAUACCGCAUACGACCUACGGGUGAAAGCAGGGGAUCUUCGGACCUUGCGCGAUUGAAUGAGCCGAUGUCGGAUUAGCUAGUUGGCGGGGUAAAGGCCCACCAAGGCGACGAUCCGUAGCUGGUCUGAGAGGAUGAUCAGCCACACUGGAACUGAGACACGGUCCAGACUCCUACGGGAGGCAGCAGUGGGGAAUAUUGGACAAUGGGCGCAAGCCUGAUCCAGCCAUACCGCGUGGGUGAAGAAGGCCUUCGGGUUGUAAAGCCCUUUUGUUGGGAAAGAAAAGCAGCAGGUUAAUACCCCGCUGUUCUGACGGUACCCAAAGAAUAAGCACCGGCUAACUUCGUG
RNAcentral lists this ribosomal RNA (491 nucleotides) under uncultured bacterium. RNAcentral describes it as "partial 16S ribosomal RNA". It matches the Rfam family "Bacterial small subunit ribosomal RNA", at positions 29 to 507 of the family's 1533-position model. The record is from RNAcentral.